This 502-nucleotide ribosomal RNA is filed under the name Listeria monocytogenes. Its description in RNAcentral is "partial 23S ribosomal RNA". It matches the Rfam family "Bacterial large subunit ribosomal RNA", at positions 693 to 1193 of the family's 2925-position model. The record is from RNAcentral. Lineage: Bacteria; Bacillati; Bacillota; Bacilli; Caryophanales; Listeriaceae.
GCAUAAGUAACAGGUCGUAGACCCGAAACCAGGUGAUCUACCCAUGUCCAGGAUGAAGGUAAGGUAAUACUUACUGGAGGUCCGAACCCACGCACGUUGAAAAGUGCGGGGAUGAGGUGUGGGUAGCGGAGAAAUUCCAAUCGAACUUGGAGAUAGCUGGUUCUCUCCGAAAUAGCUUUAGGGCUAGCCUCGAGGUAAAGAGUCAUGGAGGUAGAGCACUGUUUGGACUAGGGGCCCUUCUCGGGUUACCGAAUUCAGAUAAACUCCGAAUGCCAUGUACUUAUACUCGGGAGUCAGACUGCGAGUGAUAAGAUCCGUAGUCGAAAGGGAAACAGCCCAGACCACCAGUUAAGGUCCCCAAAUAUAUGUUAAGUGGAAAAGGAUGUGGGGUUGCUUAGACAACCAGGAUGUUGGCUUAGAAGCAGCCACCAUUGAAAGAGUGCGUAAUAGCUCACUGGUCGAGUGACCCCGCGCCGAAAAUGUACCGGGGCUAAACAUAUUA